RNAcentral lists this ribosomal RNA (432 nucleotides) under uncultured bacterium. RNAcentral's name for it is "partial 16S ribosomal RNA". It matches the Rfam family "Bacterial small subunit ribosomal RNA", at positions 29 to 507 of the family's 1533-position model. The record is from RNAcentral.
ACGAACGCUGGCGGCAGGCCUAACACAUGCAAGUCGAGCGAGGACUUCGGUUCUAGCGGCGGACGGGUGAGUAACGCGUGGGAAUGUGCCCUUCUCUACGGAAUAGCCCUGGGAAACUGGGAGUAAUACCGUAUACGCCCUAUUGGGGAAAGAUUUAUCGGAGAAGGAUCAGCCCGCGUUGGAUUAGGUAGUUGGUGGGGUAAUGGCCUACCAAGCCGACGAUCCAUAGCUGGUUUGAGAGGAUGAUCAGCCACACUGGGACUGAGACACGGCCCAGACUCCUACGGGAGGCAGCAGUGGGGAAUCUUAGACAAUGGGGGCAACCCUGAUCGAGCCAUGCCGCGUGAGUGAUGAAGGCCUUAGGGUUGUAAAGCUCUUUCAGCUGGGAAGAUAAUGACGGUACCAGCAGAAGAAGCCCCGGCUAACUCCGUG